RNAcentral lists this long non-coding RNA (2261 nucleotides) under Scleropages formosus (Asian bonytongue). Its description in RNAcentral is "lncRNA (ENSSFOG00015024598.1)". The record is from RNAcentral. Lineage: Eukaryota; Metazoa; Chordata; Actinopteri; Osteoglossiformes; Osteoglossidae.
ACAAAGGUACAACCCUGCUGGUCAUUUUAAAUGGUGCUGAUCUGCCCACUGGUAGCGUUGCCCCUGGAAGCCACAUGGGUCAGUACUGCUGUAACAACUGCAUGACCUACACGCCAUCAUGUACAAACACUACACCUCACCAAACUCCCAGCUGUCACACCAUCCUCAUGUAGGCAGACAGUAAUGGAAUGCAGGACAAAUGGCCGGUGACCGAACGCACGCAAAAGGGUCAUGUACAAUGUUUAACUAAGCAAGAAAAGGAAAGACAUGGGAAGUACAAUAUUUUUUGUUCAUCUCUCUUUUUACCUUUUUACCUUAACUGUCUAUUUCACAUAUACAACAAAAUACAAGGAAUGUCCUUGUUUUUUUUUUUUUUUUUUUUUUGUGACAUGUGAAAUGAGUUACCUAUUGCAGCAAUUUAGUGGAUUAGUGGUUAAGGACUCAGUCUUGUAACUUGAGGCUAGAUGGUUCAAGUCCCAUUCCCUCCAGCUGCUGUAGAAACCUUGAUCAAGAUCCUUACCAUGAAUUACUCUAAUAAAAAAUCCCAGCUGGAUAGAUAUGACCUUAUUAGAUACCGUUAAAAGUUUCAGUUCAGCAAUUCUCGUAUUUCUAGAAGUCACGUUCAAUUCUUCUUAUUGACAUGACUCACUCUGUCAUUGUUUUAGAUUCAGUGGAUACCUCUGCUGACAUCACAGAUGUGCCAGAAGCUCCUGUCACUAUGGGUAUCCAAACUCUGGACAUGAAAGGUCAGGCCCUCUAGAAUAAAGUGAAUAAUACUAUAAACGUGUAUGAAUUACAGUGCAGAGUUCACUUUGCAGUUUGUUUCCUUAGGAGAACUGCAGUAGUGCUGUGUCUAAAACGUGAUAUUUUAUAUAUAUGUGGGGUUUCAUUAUUCUACAGUGGUGGAUGGACCUGAUAAGUCAUCAGCAGAAGAAGCAAAAGACACAGAUGAGGAAGACUCCGCUGAAAAGAAUCCCAAAGACUCUGACAAGAGCAGCCAGGAUAGUGACAGUGACAGCAAACAAGACAAGAGCAGCAAGGAAGACAGUGACAGUAGCAAUGACAGUGACAGCAAACAAGACAAGAGCAGCAAGGAAGACAAGGAGAGCGACAGUGACAGCAAACAAGACAGGAGCAGCAAAGAAGACAAGGACAGUGACAGUGAUAGUGACAGUGACAGCAAAGAUGAAAAAGACAGUAAAGAAGACAAGGACACUGACAGUGACAGUGACAGUGAAGGCGACAGCAAACAGGACAAAAGCAGUAAGGAAGACAAAGACAGUGACAAUGAAAGCGACAGUGACAGCAAACAAGAAAAAAGUAUUAAGGAAGACAAGGACAGUGACAGUGAUAGCAAACAGGACAAAAGCAGCGAGGACACUGACAGCAAGCAGGAGAAAAAAGUAGAUAAGGAUACUGACAGUGACAGUGAGAGUGACAGUGGCAGUGACAGCAAACAAGACAAAAGCAGUGAGGACAGUGACAGCCAACAGGACAAAAGGAACAAGGUAGACAAGGAGAGUGACAGUGAUAGCGAUAGUGACAGCAAACAUGACAAAGACAGUAAAGAAGACAAGGACAGUGACAGUGACAGUGGCAGUGACAGCAAACAGGAAAAAAGCAGCAAGGAAGACAAGGACAGUGACAGUGACAGUCAACAAGACAAAAGCAGCAAGGAGGAGAGUGACAGCAACAUCCAGCAGGACAAGAGCAGCAAAGAAGACAAGGACAGCGACAGUGAUAGUGACAGUGACAGCGAUAGUGAUAGUGAUAGCAAACAGGACAAAAGCAGCAAAGAAGACAAGGACAGCGACGGUGACAGUGACAGCGACAGCGAUAGUGACAGCAAACAGGACAAAAGCAGCAAGGAGGACAAGGCUGAUGACAGCAAGCCAGACACAGAGAGUGACAGUGAUGGUUCUGACAGCAAGGAUGCAGACAAAGACAGCAAAGAGGACAGUCCAGAUAAAAGCAGUCAGGAAUCCAGCAAUCUGAACAAACAUGAGCAUGACAAGAGCCAGGAUAUGGACAGCACCAGCAAACAGGACAACAGCAAGGAAAAGGAUUCUUCCUCUGACAGUACCAGCAGUAGUGAGAGCAAGUCCUCUGAUUCCGAUGAUGACGAUACCUCUGAGGUAACUACGGAUGACAGCGAUGUCAGCUCUGAUGUAUCCCACAAACCUGAUCAAUUUGGCCAGACCACACAGGGCACCAUGCAAGGUAGGGCAGCGCCUUGCCCUGGUUCGGCAAUCCUUUACUAA